Molecule: long non-coding RNA, 2973 nt
Organism: Oreochromis aureus
Lineage: Eukaryota; Metazoa; Chordata; Actinopteri; Cichliformes; Cichlidae
Source: Ensembl
CCCCGAAUGACGUCACCACGUUGCGGAGCGUCAUUUACCUGGCAGGGCGCCUAAGCGGCUCAAACGCUCAAAAGUUUGGUUAUACUUUACGAGAACAGAUGACAACGGGGCAACUUGCAAUACUUGCAAAGUAGAUAUUUCAUUUAAAGGAGGAAACACUACGAAUAUGCAAAAGCAUUUGCUCACAAAACACGCGAUGAACUUAAAUGAAUGUCGUGUUUUUAAUUCCACUCCGGACUCAUGAAUCUCAACCCAGCAGCAGCGGUAACGUUUGCACGUCAUCUCCCGUUAAUGCGGCAGGUGACCAUGAUGAGAGAGACAGACAGAGUCUGGCUGGCAGUUCUUGCUGCAGUCUACCGGUAGCGUCUCCUUUCAGGCCAGGAUAGACAAAUGUCACCGAGCAGUGACUUAAGUUUGUGGUCAAAGGCUUGCACCCAUUUGCCACAGCAGAUGCCCCCGAUUUUCGAGCCGUAGGCUGUGGAUCUCUUAAGAACUCACUGUUGGGUUUGUAAGGCCAUGUUACUCCUAAAUUUCUAUCUUGUUCAAAGAGAAGAUAUAAAACAAAGUUCUAAGCUAAUCGACCUGUGUGUUCUCCUUUUUUAAAAAGAAUCGAUAAGAGAAUCGAUAAAGAAUCGAAUCGUUAAACAGAAUCGAAAAUGGAAUCGGAAUCGUGAAAAUCUUAUCAAUACCCAUCCCUACUCCCAGUACUCCCAGUUAGCUGUCAACUUUAAUUACAAGUAUUAAUUUUACCCUUUGAUGGUAUGAACAUUUCGAUUUAUGAUUUAAAGUACUGAAAAUUUCUCUAACUGGUGUCUCUCAGACUGGGAUGGAGCUGUGGUUUCUUGCUUUUCCUCUGAUGGUUUUUGUUCAGCCUGCAGGGAUGAUUUCACACUGUGAGUACUUUUGUAACAAGAGCAGUAGUAGAUGGCUGAAUGAACGUCUUUAACUGUUUUUAGCUCCAAAGCCCAGCUGCCCUGAUUAUUCACUGCUGAGAAAUCGUUCUGCUGAGGGUGGUUAUAGCCUCGAUUUAUUGCACCGCUGCUUAUGUCAAUAGAAAGAAGCAUUCUGAAUAAUUCUCUUGUGUCUUUCUUCUGGUACCAGUAUACAACAGUACUGCUGCACUGGUCAGUUCCCCCACAGCUGAAGGAGACACUUUCUCCAGCUCUCCUGGUCAGAGUUAAAUCACUCUGUAUCAGCUCUUCAGCCACAGUAAUCACUGGGGUAGAGACACAGACAGUACACAGCUGCAGUGCUGCACUGGUCAGUUCCCCCACAGCUGAAGGAGACACUUUCUCCAGCUCUCCUGGUCAGAGUCAAAUCAUUUUGUAUCAGCUCUGUGGCCAUGGUAAACAGCGCUGCAGAGACACACACAGGUGAAGGUAGAAAGUGUGUGUGAGCUGAUGUGGAUGUGAAUUCAGCAGCAUGGAUCAGUGUGAGGACAGAGAGGAGGGAGUCCCUCCCUCUAAAACCACUCUGUGUGGGGAACAUGAGAGCCAGACCAAAGCUCAGAGUUCAGAGCAGCGGUACGCACUGUAUUCUGCCAGACCUGGGCCCAGCUGCAGAUCCCUAACGACUGACUUGUACUUGGAGUUACACGUGUUUUUUACUCGAAAGCGUCUCCCUUCCAGUUGGUCCUCCUCACUGUUUUGUGGAGUGAAUCAAGCACAAGACUGUACUAAACUUGAACCUGAAUCUAAACAUGAACUGAUGCCUGAAACAACAAGCAUACCUGAACAAGAAGCCUCUGCGACUUCAAAUCUUCAGAUCCUCGGUUGUAAACAUGUCAUGGAUCAGGAUCAGGCUGGGCCCCGGCAGAUGAUCUGUCCAGUGUUGAACAGCAGUGCUGUAAAAAAGACAGACGGGCUUUUAAAGGAAUGGUUGUGGGAAACUCUGGAGACUUUGGGAACUGAGGAGCUGAAAAACUUCAAGUGGUGUCUGCAAAAUGUUACUGAGUCAAAGGAUGGCUUCAAGCCAAUCAAAAAGAGUCGACUGGAGAACGCAGACAGACUGGACACAGUGGACCUGAUGGUGCAGAUGUACGAUACAAAGACUGCAGAGGUGACGAAGAAGAUUUUAAGGAAGAUCAAAAGGAAUGAAGGACAACCCUUUCCCCAAAUUCUGCUGCAGGAUCAACCAGCUAAUGCCACAGGUAUGUGUUCAUUAUGGUACUAAGUCAUACUACACUAAGACUGAUAAUAUAAGUGUAAUAUUUAAGGGGGGAGACCAAAUAGCUGCCAGUCUGAUUUAAUCUAAACCUUUCUCAUCUUUCCACAAUUCACUAACUUUCAUCUGUGUGAAAAGGUGAGAAAGUCUGCCCAAAAAGGAAAUCUACUUCUUCUCUCUAUAACUCAGUUUGAUAUUUAACUGCAAGAAGCAUUCAACUCCAGUCAAACAGAUCUUUAGUUAAUCUGCUAUAUGAGGUGGACAAUUUCUCAGUUUCCUAGACUUCCAAAAGUAACGUAUUUUUAGGACUACACAUAUAUAUAUAUAUAUAAACACCCAGCGCGCCCCUGCGGGCGGUUUAUCCUUCAAGCUCGGGUCCUCUACCAGAGGCCUGGGAGCUUGAGGGUCCUGCGCAGUAUCUUAGCUGUUCCCAGGACUGCGCUCUUCUGGACAGAGAUCUCCGAUGUUGUUCCCGGGAUCUGCUGGAGCCACUCGCCUAGCUUGGGAGUCACCGCACCUAGUGCUCCGAUUACCACGGGGACCACCGUCACCUUCACCCUCCACAUCCUCUCGAGCUCUUCUCUGAGCCCUUGGUAUUUCUCCAGCUUCUCGUGUUCCUUCUUCCUGAUAUUGCUGUCAUUCGGAACCGCUACAUCGAUCACUACGGCCGUCUUCUUCUGUUUGUCUACCACCACUAUGUCCGGUUGGUUAGCCACCACCAUUUUGUCCGUCUGCAUCUGGAAGUCCCACAGGAUCUUAGCUCGGUCAUUCUCCACCACCCUUGGGGGCAUCUCCCAUUUUGACCUCGGG